Molecule: ribosomal RNA, 500 nt
Filed under: Bacillus sp. 0021
Lineage: Bacteria; Bacillati; Bacillota; Bacilli; Caryophanales; Bacillaceae
Description: bacterial SSU rRNA
Rfam family: Bacterial small subunit ribosomal RNA
Source: RNAcentral
UGGCUCAGGACGAACGCUGGCGGCGUGCCUAAUACAUGCAAGUCGAGCGGAUUGAUGGGAGCUUGCUCCCAUCAGUCAGCGGCGGACGGGUGAGUAACACGUGGGUAACCUGCCUGUAAGACUGGGAUAACUCCGGGAAACCGGGGCUAAUACCGGAUAACUCAUUUCCUCGCAUGAGGAAAUGUUGAAAGGUGGCUUUUAGCUAUCACUUACAGAUGGACCCGCGGCGCAUUAGCUAGUUGGUGAGGUAAUGGCUCACCAAGGCGACGAUGCGUAGCCGACCUGAGAGGGUGAUCGGCCACACUGGGACUGAGACACGGCCCAGACUCCUACGGGAGGCAGCAGUAGGGAAUCUUCCGCAAUGGACGAAAGUCUGACGGAGCAACGCCGCGUGAGUGAUGAAGGUUUUCGGAUCGUAAAGCUCUGUUGUUAGGGAAGAACAAGUACCGUUCGAAUAGGGCGGUACCUUGACGGUACCUAACCAGAAAGCCACGGCUAAC